Molecule: long non-coding RNA, 486 nt
Organism: Daphnia pulex (common water flea)
Lineage: Eukaryota; Metazoa; Arthropoda; Branchiopoda; Diplostraca; Daphniidae
Exons: 2
Source: RefSeq, a predicted model, not a curated record
UCGCGUGGUCGCAGAGCACCAGAGAGGAGGUGCUGAAUUUUUUUUUUUAAAUUUCUUUUUCGUGUUUUUAGCUUUGGAUACCAAAUGGAUUAUUGAUAUCCCGCCUUCAGUAAAUCCAUUUGACACUUCAUUGCAAUGUCAACACACGCGAAUCAACACCUUGCGCAGCCAGACAAGCCCGUCCGACCCGGUAGCGGCCGUCGAGCACCCCGCACUUCUUCCCUUUGCACCGCCACGUAUUUGGAGAAGCAGCAGCCUGCGUUCAAGAUCGAGCCCGAGGAAAACAACAACGACCCUGUCAAAGUGAUUAUGGAUGUUAUUCCCAGCACUCCUGCGGUCCUGUCCGAAGUUUAAAAAGUCCCUCUCGACUCGCCUGAAUUUACUUACUGCCUCCCGCCCCACUUCCCUUUUGUUUUUCAUUUAACUUGUCUCGUUUUUGAGAAAUUUCGAUCUUUUAUUAAGUUUACAAGUCUUUCACGAAACAAA